RNAcentral lists this ribosomal RNA (379 nucleotides) under uncultured eukaryote. RNAcentral's name for it is "partial 18S ribosomal RNA". It matches the Rfam family "Eukaryotic small subunit ribosomal RNA", at positions 592 to 976 of the family's 1831-position model. The record is from RNAcentral.
CAAUAGCGUAUAUUUAAGUUGUUGCAGUUAAAAAGCUCGUAGUUGGAUUUUGGGUCGGGGGCACCGGUCCGCCGUUCCGGUGUGCACUGGUGGCCCCUUCCUUUCUGCCGGGGACGUGCGUCGCACUUAAUUGGGUGGCGUUCGGAGUCGGCGUUGUUACUUUGAAAAAAUUAGAGUGUUCAAAGCAAGCCAUCGCUCUGAAUACAUUAGCAUGGAAUAACAUGAUAGGACUCCGGUCUUAUUUUGUUGGUUUCCGAGACUGGAGUAAUGAUUAAGAGGGACAGUCGGGGGCAUCCGUAUUUCAUUGUCAGAGGUGAAAUUCUUGGAUUUAUGAAAGACGAACUUCUGCGAAAGCAUUUGCCAAGGAUGUUUUCAUUGA